ACGGCGAACGUCAUCAGUUGCCCCGCCCUUGCCCUCGGCGCCCUCCCAGGUUUCAAAGGCACCAGUUUGGCCUGAGGUAUCUCUACGCGCUCCGCUGUGGGGCGCGAACGCGGCCGGGAGGGCUCCCCGUCCGGUGUCUGUGACUUGGGGUUCUGGAAUCGGGAAGGAAUUGUAGCGGCUGCGCGCUUCUGAUUUCUCAGCUCUCUGCCCCGCCCACUGUCUGCCCAUGCGCCUUUCGUGGGAUAGAAGACGUUUCCGUCAUUGUCAGAGCCUCUGAAAUCAGACCUCUUAGAAUAAAAUCCUAGCUCCACCACUUAAGAUCUGAAUGCUCUCCAGCAAGUUCCUGUACUACUCUGGGUCAAGUUUCCUCAUCUGUAAUAACAGUAUUUACCUCAGAGGAUGAUUGUGAAGAAAAAAUGAGUUAACGUUUGAAAGGGCUUAAAACAAUCCAUCCCCACUUCUCCACCUGCUCUGUGCCCAGAGACCUCUAUGGACUCCACCAACAGGCUCCUGAGCCUUCUGGCUUCCAGCGUGGUCAUCUCCGGCUGGCUGCAUGCCUUGACAACGGUUACAGCUGCUACCAAGUGCGCUCUCUGCAUACAGCUCUCAGUCUCCGGGUUCUUUGGAAGCCUGACGGAGCCCCCACAGUUUCGCCAGCCCUAUCUCUAAUGGUUUCCCUAUACCCUGCCCACACUUUCACAAAUGGUCCCUU
Long non-coding RNA from Equus quagga, 712 nucleotides. RefSeq lists it as uncharacterized. Lineage: Eukaryota; Metazoa; Chordata; Mammalia; Perissodactyla; Equidae. The transcript is spliced from 4 exons. The record is from RefSeq and is a predicted model, not a curated record.